GACGUAGGGCGCGAGCGUUGUCCGGAUUUAUUGGGCGUAAAGAGCUCGUAGGUGGUUCUGUAUGUCUACCGUGAAAGCGUACGGCUCAACUGUAUUUUGUCGGUAGAAACUGCAGGACUUGAGGCUGGGAGGGGCUGGUGGAAUUCCCUGUGUAGCGGUGAAAUGCGUAGAGAUGGGGGAGAACACUCGUGGCGAAGGCGGCCAGCUAGACCAGUUCUGACACUGAGGCGCGACAGCGUGGGGAGCAAACAGG
RNAcentral lists this ribosomal RNA (253 nucleotides) under uncultured bacterium. RNAcentral describes it as "partial 16S ribosomal RNA". It matches the Rfam family "Bacterial small subunit ribosomal RNA", at positions 524 to 776 of the family's 1533-position model. The record is from RNAcentral.